This 22-nucleotide microRNA is filed under the name Shrimp white spot syndrome virus. RNAcentral describes it as "wssv-mir129". Lineage: Naldaviricetes; Nimaviridae. The record is from RNAcentral.
CUGAUAUCGAGGAUAACACCAG